This is a non-coding RNA of Triticum aestivum (bread wheat), 79 nucleotides long. The record is from Rfam. Lineage: Eukaryota; Viridiplantae; Streptophyta; Magnoliopsida; Poales; Poaceae.
CGGCAAUGAGGAGCGAAACCUGUGCCGGAGGCGGAUGCGCCCAUGUCGGUAACACAACCCUCUAAGAAGUUCUGAGCCC